GACGAACGCUGGCGGCGUGCCUAAUACAUGCAAGUAGAACGCUGAAGAGAGGAGCUUGCUCUUCUUGGGUGAGUUGCGGACGGGUGAGUAACGCGUAGGUAACCUGCCUGGUAGCGGGGGAUAACUAUUGGAAACGAUAGCUAAUACCGCAUAAAAUUUAUUAUUGCAUGAUUAUUUAUUGAAAGAUGCAACUGCAUUACUACCAGAUGGACCUGCGUUGUAUUAGCUAGUUUGGUAAGUAACGGCUUAACAAGGCGAACAUACAUAACCCACCUGAGAGGGGUGUCGGCCACGCUUGGAAUGAAGCACGGCCCCGACUUCUUCGGGGGGCAGCAGGAGGGGAUCCUUGGGAAAGGGGGGAAACCUGACCGGGGCACGCCGGGUGAGGGGAGAAGGUUGUCGGAUCGUAAAGAUCCGUUGUAAGAGAAGAACGGGUGGGAGAAUGGAAAGUGCACACUGUGACGGUAUCUUAUCAGAAAGGGACGGCUAACUACGUG
This 497-nucleotide ribosomal RNA is filed under the name uncultured bacterium. RNAcentral's name for it is "partial 16S ribosomal RNA". It matches the Rfam family "Bacterial small subunit ribosomal RNA", at positions 28 to 507 of the family's 1533-position model. The record is from RNAcentral.